Molecule: ribosomal RNA, 426 nt
Filed under: uncultured bacterium
Lineage: Bacteria
Description: partial 16S ribosomal RNA
Rfam family: Bacterial small subunit ribosomal RNA
Source: RNAcentral
GUGGGGAAUCUUGCGCAAUGGGCGAAAGCCUGACGCAGCAACGCCGCGUGGGGGAUGAAGGCUCUCGGGUUGUAAACCCCUUUCAGCAGGGACGAAUCAAGACGGUACCUGCAGAAGAAGCCCCGGCUAACUACGUGCCAGCAGCCGCGGUAACACGUAGGGGGCAAGCGUUGUCCGGAUUUAUUGGGCGUAAAGAGCUCGUAGGUGGCUGAGUAAGUCGGAUGUCAAAUCCCCAGGCUCAACCUGGGAUCCCAUCCGAUACUGCUCUGGCUAGAGUCCGGUAGGGGAGCGUGGAAUUCCUGGUGUAGCGGUGAAAUGCGCAGAUAUCAGGAGGAACACCAGCGGCGAAGGCGGCGCUCUGGGCCGGUACUGACACUGAGGUGCGAAAGCGUGGGGAGCAAACAGGAUUAGAAACCCGGGUAGUCC